RNAcentral lists this long non-coding RNA (1668 nucleotides) under Panax ginseng (ginseng). RNAcentral describes it as "long non-coding RNA (PGIN_LNC008657)". Lineage: Eukaryota; Viridiplantae; Streptophyta; Magnoliopsida; Apiales; Araliaceae. The record is from RNAcentral.
CCCGAUGCAGUUGAGUUAAAAAUCCUAAAAGACAACAACCAAUAGAAAAUUUUGUUGAAUAAAAUUGACUUAAUACCCUAAAAUUUUGCAUUGGGUAUAUCUUCAUAGAACAGUAGGAGUCUCAGACCCUUGUCCUAUGGAUAAUUCAGUUAAAAUUUGGCAGAUACGAUGUUUGACAUCAUUGAAUGAUUAAAACUUUUCCAAUCCAGUGCAUAUGAAAUCGAUUUAUAGGCUAAACUUAAAAUUCCGAAUUCCAUUGCUGAAUCUUGAGAAUGGGUAUCUUAAUGGGACAAUAUAUGUGCAUAUGAACAUUAGCUCAUACCUACACACAGUGUACACUGUAAAUUUGAAGAAUAUUGAAUACAUGCCGUUGUCACCCACAAGAAACGCAGCUUAGAUUUAGGGUACUUUCAGGAAGUUAUCCCUAGCAGUGAAGAUCUAGAAUGGACUAACUAUAUGAUUUCUUAAUAUGCAACUUACCUUUUAAAGGCAACUUUCAAACUAGCACAUACAUCAUCUAAUAACUAAGUAAGAGAACAGAAGUAAAUGAUAUUAAAUGUUAUAGUGGGUAGAGGUUUUGGAACACUAAAGAAUACAGCUAUACUGAAUUUAAACAAUUUGAGUAUGUUGGCCCCCACUGUUUCUAAACCUGUAUUCUGAUGAUGGAAACGUCAUUGAUCGGUAUGUAUUGUAGGCCCAAAAAAGAGUUCAAGAGUCUACUUGAAAUAGUAUGAAGUUGCUUCAUUCUCUUCUCUUUGAAUUGCAAAAUCUUACCUUCAGAGAAAUCUAAAGGUACUUCUGCCAAUCAUUCCAAGUAAGCAUAGCUGUUCAUUCAUAAAUGCAGCAUAUGGUGAGAUUUAGUGUUGGAUAGAUAUUGCUUGGGAUUCUUAAUAAUGGGGCAUGAAGGUUAUUGGUCUUUACCUUGACCAAGCUAAUGGAACACCUCUCAAAAAAGCCUUGAGUAAAUGAUCAACAAACAGGACAAAAGAAGGGCUCCAGUAAAUAAUGAAGACUUGAGCCAGAGCCAGACAGAAGUCAUCAUAUCCUGAAGUUAAAUCUCUCCAACUCGUCAAUAUAUUUCCAUAUCUGGUUUUACUUGCAUGACAUUUGAUUUGUUUCAUUUAAUUUACUCUCUCUAUUCUGCAAAAAGAGUCUCAUAUUCCUUUUCUUUUCCAAUAAAAGAGUCAUCUUUUUAUUGAUAGCGGUAUAAUAUGACACAAUAUCCUCAAGUCUAUUAGCAUAAUUUCAUUAACAUGCCACCACUACUAAUCGAACAACUUAUUAUUUUAUGUGAUAAACAUGGAGCAAAAUUAUAACUUUAAUAUUAAUAAAUAUUGCUAGUAGGAAUCUUUUUGUGGAAUGGAGGCAGUAUUAUCAAGCUUAGUUCAAUUUUCUAUCAAAAUUAAUAUUCUAAAAUUCCCGCCUAAAUCCGCUUAAGUGGGAUUAAGCGCUAGGUGGGUCCUCAACCGCCUACAUUUGGUUGGGCGCCUAGGCAGAAUCAUACCUCUACAUCAUCGAUUUAAUAAAGGCUUUGAAGAAUUGAAGGUAUAAUUGUCAAGUCUUAAAAAAAAUUAGUAAUUUUUCAUGUAAAAUUUUAAAAAUUUACUUAUACUAUGUGUUUUGUAUAGUAUAACAAAUAUAUAAUAAAAAAAUAAAAAAAUCAAAUUG